This is a long non-coding RNA of Drosophila albomicans, 841 nucleotides long. RefSeq lists it as uncharacterized. The record is from RefSeq and is a predicted model, not a curated record. NCBI's taxonomy places the organism in Eukaryota, Metazoa, Arthropoda, Insecta, Diptera, Drosophilidae. The transcript is spliced from 3 exons.
GUUAUUAAUAAUAGUAAAAGUUAAAUUUGUUAUUAUAAUCCUUUAAAGUGGUGUUUCUUAAUUUAGUAGCUGUAUAUGGUAUAGAACACAUAUUACAUAGAACAAUAGCUGAGUACUGUGACCUUCGGUAAAUAUGUAUGAAUGCAUGCAUAUAUGUUGUACUUAUCGGGGAUUUCCCACAAAUUUGGCAUGCCUUUUUAAUGUACUUGACCCCGCUGGCGAUAACUCGGAGAGCACUGAGACGGCAUGAGGAAACCGACCAGGCAGCUGCCUGGAAAAGUGCAGCUCCCGGCGGCAUGUGGCCGUGACUCUGACGAUGUGAGUGUGUGAGUGCUCGUUUCUAGACUUUUCCCUGUGUGUGUGUCACACAUCGAAAGGACGAAGCCUGUAGAGCUAGAGGAUAAGAGCCCAAGCCCAUUCUGCAGCUUGUGCUCGGGUUCUUAUUCUUGCAGCAGCCAACCACUGGUGUAGCGUUGAAAAUCUCAGCAGGAGCCCCACAGAAAAGUGCCUCCUGCAUAAGCGAUUUUCUCUGCUUAUACUGUUGAAAAUGGGUGUGUGCUUCCUUUGAUGUUCGUGUUCUUCUUGGCCCGUUGUUCUUGCCGCUGUCUCCAUACUAUUUAUUUUCACUUGAAAUGCUUUUACUAUUCUUAUGCUCAUGCCACUGAGCUGCCUAAGAAUACACAUAGUAUAUAGCAUACAGUGAAUACAGUGAAUGGAAAAUAAAUUGUCUGUUUUGCUUACUUAAAAGAAAUCGAUAUUGGACGACUGAAUAGCAUAUCCUCGCCCUGUAACAACACAUUCUCGCCUCGGGCACUUUGCAUGUUCAGCUGAUUUAAAAAUA